This 217-nucleotide unclassified non-coding RNA is filed under the name Hevea brasiliensis (rubber tree). Lineage: Eukaryota; Viridiplantae; Streptophyta; Magnoliopsida; Malpighiales; Euphorbiaceae. The record is from RNAcentral.
GUGUACUUCAAAUACCGGUCUGUGCGCUUUGCCAACUCCGGCAAACUCUGGUAUCUGCCGAUGAACUUUUGAUAUGCUGGCAACAGAAUUUUGGCAACUGAGAUUCUUGCUUCUUCUCUAAGCUGAUGCUCAAAUAUCACCCAUGUGGAUUGGGUUUGGCAGAUUUCUUCAAAUUGCAUAUUGAAUGAUUGGAGCUUCUCCUUCAUCACAGCCGGAG